Molecule: transfer RNA, 74 nt
Filed under: Gemmatimonadota bacterium
Lineage: Bacteria; Pseudomonadati; Gemmatimonadota
Also listed under: 10 other names
Description: Gemmatimonadetes bacterium tRNA-Arg
Rfam family: tRNA
About the family: Transfer RNA (tRNA) molecules are approximately 80 nucleotides in length. Their secondary structure includes four short double-helical elements and three loops (D, anti-codon, and T loops).
Source: RNAcentral
GGCCCCGUAGCUCAGGCGGAUAGAGCGCGGGAUUCCUAAUCCCGAGGCCGCUGGUUCGAGUCCAGCCGGGGUCA